UACGUAGGGUGCGAGCGUUAAUCGGAAUUACUGGGCGUAAAGCGUGCGUAGGCGGUUCGUCAAGUCUGAUGUGAAAGCCCCGGGCUCAACCUGGGAACUGCAUUGGAAACUAGCGAGCUUGAGUGUGGCAGAGGGGGGUGGAAUUCCACGUGUAGCAGUGAAAUGCAUAGAGAUGUGGAGGAACACCGAUGGCGAAGGCAGCCCCCUGGGCUAACACUGACGCUCAGGCACGAAAGCGUGGGGAGCAAACAGG
This 253-nucleotide ribosomal RNA is filed under the name uncultured bacterium. Its description in RNAcentral is "partial 16S ribosomal RNA". It matches the Rfam family "Bacterial small subunit ribosomal RNA", at positions 524 to 776 of the family's 1533-position model. The record is from RNAcentral.